ACCACCCUGGAGUACGCAGGCAUCCCCAGUCUCGGGCCUGCAGGAGUAGCUUUGGCCUAGCCGGUGACCAUCCUUGGCCCAGGCUGGCCCUACUUUGUGGCCAGGAUCACAGGCAGGGAGAGCCUGACAUUCCACCCCC
Equus caballus (horse) is the source of this 139-nucleotide microRNA precursor. The record is from Ensembl. NCBI's taxonomy places the organism in Eukaryota, Metazoa, Chordata, Mammalia, Perissodactyla, Equidae.